GACGAACGCUGGCGGCGUGCCUAAUACAUGCAAGUCGAGCGGACUUUCAAGAAGCUUGCUUUUUGAAAGUUAGCGGCGGACGGGUGAGUAACACGUGGGCAACCUGCCUGCAAGACGGGGAUAACUCCGGGAAACCGGGGCUAAUACCGGAUAAUAUCUUCCUUCGCAUGAAGGAAGGUUGAAAGGCGGCGCAAGCUGCCGCUUGCAGAUGGGCCCGCGGCGCAUUAGCUAGUUGGUGAGGUAACGGCUCACCAAGGCGACGAUGCGUAGCCGACCUGAGAGGGUGAUCGGCCACACUGGGACUGAGACACGGCCCAGAAUCCUACGGGAGGCAGCAGUAGGGAAUCUUCCGCAAUGGACGAAAGUCUGACGGAGCAACGCCGCGUGAGCGAAGAAGGGCUUCGGAUCGUAAAGCUCUGUUGUCAGGGAAGAACAAGUACCGUUCGAACAGGGCGGUACCUUGACGGUACCUGACCAGAAAGCCACGGCUAACUACGUG
This 499-nucleotide ribosomal RNA is filed under the name uncultured bacterium. RNAcentral describes it as "partial 16S ribosomal RNA". It matches the Rfam family "Bacterial small subunit ribosomal RNA", at positions 28 to 507 of the family's 1533-position model. The record is from RNAcentral.